CGCUCUACCACACAAAGACGUCAGUAAGAAGCGAGAGAAAGCAAAACAGAAUGAAAAUCAUAUUCGAAAAGACAACGUCAUUGCCAGUUUUCUUGUCUCACACAAAAAGCGAGGGAAGGAGCCAAAGAUGUUGGUACCUGAGCCAUGAUGCCCAGAUACCUGGCUGUGUCUCAAGAUGUAAGCUCCCAGCUACUGCUCCAGCACAAUGCCUGCCUGCCUGCAGUCAUGCUCCCUGCCAUGGUCAUGGCCAGUAACCCUCUGUAUGAACCGGGCAAAUCGACUGGAUCCAACGGACGUCCCACAAAGACAGGCUACAACAAGCUGUGAUCCUCAGUCCUUAGUUUCUAAUACUGAUUUCUAGAUUUUAUGAAUCAAGAUUGGUCUUGCCUGUCUACUUCCUUCAUCCAUUCAUUAAA
Mesocricetus auratus (golden hamster) is the source of this 416-nucleotide long non-coding RNA. RefSeq lists it as uncharacterized. Lineage: Eukaryota; Metazoa; Chordata; Mammalia; Rodentia; Cricetidae. The record is from RefSeq and is a predicted model, not a curated record. The transcript is spliced from 3 exons.